UAGGGAAUCUUCGGCAAUGGGGGGAACCCUGAUCGAGCAACGCCGCGUGAGUGAAGAAGGCUUUCGGAUCGUAAAGCUCUGUUGUUAAGGAAGAACGAGUGUGAGAAUGGAAAGUUCAUACUGUGACGGUACUUAACCAGAAAGGGACGGCUAACUACGUGCCAGCAGCGGCGGUAAUACGGAGGUCCCGAGCGUUGUCCGGAUUUAUUGGGCGUAAAGCGAGCGCAGGCGGUUAGAUAAGUCUGAGGUUAAAGGCGGUGGCUCAACCAUUGUAGGCUUUGGAAACUGUUUAACUUGAGUGCAGAAGGGGAGAGUGGAAUUCCAUGUGUAGCGGUGAAAUGCGUAGAUAGAUGGAGGAACACCGGUGGCGAAAGCGGCUCUCUGGUCUGUUACUGACGCUGAGGCUCGAAAGCGUGGGGAGCGAACAGG
This 429-nucleotide ribosomal RNA is filed under the name Bacteroidota bacterium. Its description in RNAcentral is "Bacteroidetes bacterium partial 16S ribosomal RNA". It matches the Rfam family "Bacterial small subunit ribosomal RNA", at positions 355 to 776 of the family's 1533-position model. Lineage: Bacteria; Pseudomonadati; Bacteroidota. The record is from RNAcentral.